AUGCAAACUGACAUUGCAAUCUUUACAUUGCCUCUAUACAUUUUAGCUAAUCAAAGUAAUCCAAAACAUGUUUUAUUAUUAUUUAUUAUUGUUAUUAUUACUAUUAUUAUUAUUAGUCAUGUAAUUUUCAUGAAUUAUGUUUCAAUAUGGAUUGAAGUCCUUAAACAUAUAUUUUGUUUGUUCUACAGGAUCACUUCAAACCAGAUUGAUGGCAGGAUGGAAUACACCUUCCAGGAUGGAGAUGUCACACAACCAGUCAGCUUCCUCAAUGAGCUACGUCUACCAACCAGUACAACAGUGUUUCCCGAAACAACAUUUGGUUUCUCUGUGACUCCUUCAAACCUCAUAUCUGGUUCAGCAGUGGUCACAAGCAAGCUGCUGUUCAACUCCUCAUCUCCAGUCCCCAGUGAAUCUCUGGUCCUCAAUGCAAUCAAAACUCUGCGUAAUUCAAGAGAGUCACAGCUCAAUGAAUCGGUGAAGGUGGUGAAUGUCACCUAUGAGAGUAAGUGUCAUCAUUUUCACUUGGAAAGUUCUGAAAUGAGAUUGAGUCAAACAAUGAGGCAUUACAGGCUUUUGACAAAUCUUUAAAUUACCAUUUCCUUCCAAACAGAAAUCUCAGAAACCUCCUAUGCUGUGGUCUUUACAUUUAACGUCAUUAACAUCAGUAUGCCAGAGGACCCUAAGUCUAGAGGCAACACCAACCAACAAGUGCAGGAUACCAUCAAUAAUGCGGUAAACUUAAAAUAAUGAACAGUGUAAAAAGGCUUAGGUUCAAUGCCAGUUUUCACGAGAUACUGAUGAAUGGUUUGAUUUAUCUCCUGCAGCUGAACACUCUUCUGAAUGAACCUGGCAGUCCAACUUUACAACCCAAGUCAUCAAACUUCACGUAAGAUGCAAACUGACAUUGCAAUCUUUACAUUGCCUCUAUACAUUUUAGCUAAUCAAAGUAAUCCAAAACAUGUAUUAUUAUUAUUUAUUAUUGUUAUUAUUACUAUUAUUAUUAUUAGUCAUGUCAUUUUCAUGAAUUAUGUUUCAAUAUGCAUUGAAGUCCUUAAACAUAUAUUUUGUUUGUUCUACAGGAUCACUUCAAACCAGAUUGAUGGCAGGAUGGAAUACACCUUCCAGGACGGAGAUGUCAUACAACCAGUCAGUUUCCUCAAUGAGCUACGUCUACCAACCAGUACAACAGUGUUUCCCGAAACAACAUUUGGUUUCUCUGUGACUCCUUCAAACCUCAUGUAAGUGUUGGAUUUCUAUUUUGACAACAAUCAAAAUUGGAGAAGGAAUUUUAUUGCAAAUAUUUGAUGAAUGUUAAACAAAAUUGGUUAUAUUUACAGAUCUGGAUCAGCAGUGGUCAAAAGCAAGCUGGUGUUCAACUCCUCAUCUCCAGUCCCCAGUGAAUCUCUGGUCCUCAAUGCAAUCAAAACUCUGCGUAAUUCCAGAGAGUCACAGCUCAAUGAAUCGGUGAAGGUGGUGAAUGUCACCUAUGAGAGUAAGUGUCAUCAUUUUCACUUGGAAAGUUCUGAAAUGAGAUUGAGUCAAACAAUGAGGCAUUACAGGCUUUUGAAAAAUCUUUAAAUUACGUUUUCCUUCCAAACAGAAAUCUCAGAAACCUCCUAUGCUGUGUUCUUUACAUUUAACGUGAUUAACAUCAGCAUGCCAGAGGACCCUAAGUCUAGAGGCAACACCAACCAGCAAGUGCAGGAUACCAUCAAUAAAGCGGUAAACUUAAAAUAAUAAACAGUGUAAAAAGGCUUAGGUACAAUGCCAGUUUUCACGAGAAACUGAUGAAUGGUUUGAUUUUUCUUUUGCAGCUGAACACUCUUCUGAAUGAACCUGGCAGUCUAAGUUUACAACCCAAGACCUCCAACUUCACGUAAGAUGCAAAUUUAUAUUUCAAUCUUGAC
Molecule: long non-coding RNA, 1907 nt
Organism: Cyprinus carpio carpio
Lineage: Eukaryota; Metazoa; Chordata; Actinopteri; Cypriniformes; Cyprinidae
Source: Ensembl